Molecule: ribosomal RNA, 253 nt
Filed under: uncultured bacterium
Lineage: Bacteria
Description: partial 16S ribosomal RNA
Rfam family: Bacterial small subunit ribosomal RNA
Source: RNAcentral
UACGAAGGGGGCAAGCGUUGUUCGGAAUUACUGGGCGUAAAGGGCGCGUAGGCGGUGCACUAAGUCAGGCGUGAAAGCCCUGGGCUCAACCCGGGAAUUGCGCUUGAUACUGGUGCGCUCGAAUCCAGGAGAGGUUGGUGGAAUUCCCAGUGUAGAGGUGAAAUUCGUAGAGAUUGGGAAGAACACCGGUGGCGAAGGCGGCCAACUGGACUGGUAUUGACGCUGAUGCGCGAAAGCGUGGGGAGCAAACAGG